RNAcentral lists this long non-coding RNA (536 nucleotides) under Aotus nancymaae (Ma's night monkey). RNAcentral's name for it is "lncRNA (ENSANAG00000038959.1)". The record is from RNAcentral. Lineage: Eukaryota; Metazoa; Chordata; Mammalia; Primates; Aotidae.
ACAGCACAAGAAGAAAAAGAACUUCUUGAAUCACUACCUCUUAGCAAGCUCUGUAAUGAAGAACAGGAAUUGCUGCGUUUUCUAUUUGAGAACAAAUUAAAAAAAUAUAAUAAGCCUAGUGAAACGGUCAUCCCUGAGUCUGUAGAUGGCUUGCAAGAGAAUCUGGAUGUGGUAGUGUCUUUAGCUGAGAGACAUUAUUAUAACUGUGAUUUUAAAAUGUGCUACAAGCUUACUUCUGUAGUGAUGGAGAAAGAUCCUUUCCAUGCAAGUUGUUUACCUGUACAUAUAGGGACACUUGUAGAGCUGAAUAAAGCCAAUGGUGUCUUGGUUUGCAGUGGGAUGUUACUAUCUCAUGGUUGGUCAUAAAAAUGAACAUGCCAGAAGAUAUCUCAGGUAUGAAUUUAUUUUCUUCCUCCCUCUGUAGUUAACCAUCGAUGUCUUGCUCAUAAGCUUUCAGAUAGUAAUGAGUGAGUACUUUAAAAGCAAUGUGAAAGAAUAAAUGUUUCCUUCCUUCCUUCCGUCCUUUUUCUUUUCUC